CUAACCAAUAAAAGUAGAGUCAAAGGACAAGAAUGGGGAGAAGGUUUUCUAGCCAGUAAAGUCCGAUCUCGAUAGCAAAAAUCUUCUAAACUGGUGAGCACCUAAUCUAUGAAAGGUAGAUGUGAAGAUACCUUUACUUUCUAGUCCAAUCUGAAAGUUAUCACCCUGGACAUAGAAAAUGGGGGGCAAAAUGUUGGUGU
This 200-nucleotide long non-coding RNA is filed under the name Elaeis guineensis (African oil palm). Its description in RNAcentral is "long non-coding RNA (EGUI_LNC010786)". The record is from RNAcentral. Lineage: Eukaryota; Viridiplantae; Streptophyta; Magnoliopsida; Arecales; Arecaceae.